RNAcentral lists this ribosomal RNA (917 nucleotides) under uncultured bacterium. RNAcentral describes it as "bacterial SSU rRNA". The stretch from base 1 to 821 matches the Rfam family "Bacterial small subunit ribosomal RNA". The record is from RNAcentral.
UGCAGUCGAGCGGCACAGACAGGAGAGACUCUGUCGUCUCCUGUAUGUUGGCGGCUGACGGAUGGGUAACACAAUGGGUAACCUGCCUGUAAGACUGGGGGAACUCCGGGAAACCGGGGCUAAUACCGGAUGCUUGAUUGAACCGGUGGGUUCAAUUAACAAAGGUGGCUUUCGCCUUCGACUUACCCAUGGACCGACGGCCCAUUUGCUGGUGGGUAAGGUAACGGCUGCCACAGGCAACAAUUCGUAUCCGACGAGAAAGGGUGAUCGUCCAACUGGGACCUGAUCCACAGCCCAAACGCCUGCGGGAGGCGGCAAUAGGGAAUCUUCGGCACUGGCCUAAUCUCUCACGAACCAACGCCUCAUGAUUGAUUAAGGUUUUCGAAUCCUUAAACUUGGUUGUUAGGGAAAAACAGUUACCAUUCGAUUGGGGUGGUACUUUGCCGGUACCAAACCAAAACGCACUGGCUACCUACUUCCCAGCUACCACGGUAGGACCUAGGUGGACUCCGUUUUCCGGAAUUUUUGGCCUUAAUACGUGCUCAUGCGGUUCCUUAGUUCUAAUGUGAAGCCCCCCGGCUCAACUGGGGAGGGUCCUGGGAAACUGGGGAACUUGAGUGCGUAACAGAAUACUGGAUUUCCCCGUGUAACGGUGAAAUGCGUAGAGAUGUGUAGGAACACCAGUGGCCAACGUGACUCUCUGCUCUGUAACUGACACUAAGGCGUGAAAGCGCUGAGAAGAUAACAUGAUCAGAUACCUCUGGUACUCAACCCAUUAAACCAGGAUGGCUGAAGUUGUAAUGAGGGUCUCCGCCACCUUAGUCGCUGCCACGCUAAACGUCUUCAGCACUGCGACUGCGGGUAGUCACGGAUCUGCAAGACUGAAAGCUACUAACGAAGUUGCCCGGGGCACCCGC